This 105-nucleotide small nuclear RNA is filed under the name Castor canadensis (American beaver). The record is from RNAcentral. Lineage: Eukaryota; Metazoa; Chordata; Mammalia; Rodentia; Castoridae.
GUACUUCAGCAGCACAUAUAUUAAAAAAUUGAAAUGAUUCAGAGAAGACUAGGAUGGCCUCUAUAUAAGGAUAACACAUGAAUUCAUGAAGCAUAUUUAAGUAGA